RNAcentral lists this unclassified non-coding RNA (2689 nucleotides) under Hevea brasiliensis (rubber tree). Lineage: Eukaryota; Viridiplantae; Streptophyta; Magnoliopsida; Malpighiales; Euphorbiaceae. The record is from RNAcentral.
AAAAAAAAAAAAAAAAAAAAAGAUGAAAACAUAGCUUUUUUACAACUAAAUUUGCUACUAUGAUCUUAGUGCUGACUGAUAAAUCGAUCUUCAAGUCAAUUCUUCUUCCUACGUAUGUAUCUCCCACCAGGAGUAAACCUAGGAUAUGGAUGAACAGUGGCUAGUUCAAGAAUUCGGUGUACCACAGUCUUAGGUAAAGGACGCAUGGCAUGCUUCAGCUUUUGUUCAACCUCUUUCUUGUUCUGUUUCAGUUUCUGCUUCUGCACAGAGCUAGCUCUUAGAAGAUUUCUCCAUUUAUCCCUCAAAUCUACAGGCGUGCGAUAAGCAGUCGAUGAAAACAAAAGCUUCUUUAUAUCAGUCCACCUCCCAGUUCCAUAUUGAGCAACACCAUCAAUCAACUUCAUCACCUCAGAAAGAGUCCACAUUCUUUGAUGCUUCCUUCUGUCAGCACUCUUCUUAGAUUUUCUUCUCUUUGCACGAUCAUCUUCAAACUCCGAUGCAGUAGGUUCACCAUCAGAGUCAAGGGCCUGAGUAGUAAAUGAUAACAUGAAAAUUGAAGUUAAUGUCCUAUAAAAAAAACUAUUGCAGGGUUAAAAAGAAAUACUACUUGUACUAACAGAGGCAAAAAGAGAAAAAUGCACUGUUCAACUCAAUUCAUAACUUUAUGAAUUGGUAGAAUGCGGCAAGACAUAGCUUCAAAACAGUUAGAUAUAGAAUUCCACAAGAUAUAGAAAUUCCUUGGUGGGUAGGACCCCAGAAAUGAAAACAGAAGCAUGCAUGAACAUGUGAGAUCCUGUGUCCUAUAUAAAUGCUGCAACCACCAAUAGAACAUAAAGUUGCAGCCAAAUAUAACACAACUCAUUAGAAUUUUGAUCUUCAUUUUUCUAAGAAUAACCAAAAAAAAAAAGGCUAGAGUGAAUAAGAACUGUUUUCCUACUGAAACACAUGGGCGUUUCUUAGGACGUCCCCUCCGUGGUCGAGAUUCAAAUGAUGCUUGAGUACUAGUUCCUGGUAAAGACUCCUCCCUGGGAGAAGAUUUGAACCCUUUCACAUGACGAAGUUCAUUCUGAGAUCCAAUCUUCAAAUGUUUAUCAUUUGAACCAGGUGAAGAAAUUUUUAGUCUUCUAGUCACACACUUCGACUUCAGAUCUGAAAGUUUUUCAUCAUCUUCAAUUGUUUCUUGUGUAACAUUCUCACUUAAUGACUCUUCCUUGGUCAAUGUCAGUCCUCUCCCACGAUGUAGUUCAUUAUGGGAUCCAAUAUCCAGGCAUUUAUCCUUUGAGUCAGCAGCCAAAAUUUUUUGUCUUUCCAGUGCAUGUUUGGACUUUGGAACUGAAAAUUCUUCAAUGAACCUCUUGGUAGGCUUACGCAAUCUCUUCUGUCUAAGAAGAGUACUCAUUUUGCUUGCCUGGAGAGGUUUCUUUUCAUUAUCAUCAGAUGAUAUUCCACUUUCUAAAGGCUUUGCAUCAUCAAGCUCAUCAAGAUUUUCUAAAUCACGUGAAGCAGUAUAAACAUUUUCCCCAGCCGGAUAAUCCCAUUUGUCCCCAGAUGAGUCAUUUAACUCACAUUUGACUGUUUUGUUCUCAACUGAACCAUUCUUGCAUUCAGAAUCUAGAAUAGUCGCUGUUGAUGAUUCUGACAACCCAUGAGUGCCAUUGCUACUUCCACUAAAUCCUGGAGAUUGACUUUCUGAACUUGAGUUUCCCAAAUGCAAUCUUCCAUGCGGUGCACAAUCCAGGUCAGAAAUCUUUUCAGCCAGUUCGACAUCCAAAAGAAAAUCUUCACAUGCCCCAGAUAUAUCAUUUGCAGCAUGAAUAUCAUCUACUUCAUCAACUUCAUCCAGCAGCCCAUCGAGAACCUACUAAAACACCAUUUAUCAGAUGUUGAUGAUGAUUAUAAAGCAAAUAAAAACCAAGUGGCACAGAUAAAACAAGUUGAUGUGCAUGAAGGGGAGGGGUUGUUAAUUUUUAGAUCAAGAUAAAACUCGCAUUUUUUUUUUCUCAAUGGAAAAGAUUUCAAUAAUAAGAACCAUGACAAGACAGAUUGACAAGAAGAGAUACAUACUCCAAGCUCUAAUUCAUCUUGUCCUUGAGUAUUAUUACAAUCCAGCCCACCUUAACACCAAGGGAAAAAAAGGUUAACAGAACACUUUGGGAAAGAAUAGUUAACCAAAAAUAAAAAGACCUAAAAGCAUACAUUGCUCUUAAUAUGUACCAUAUGUCUAGUUCCAGCCUGUUUCGAAGAAUUCAUGCAUGAUAAAUAGUUCUGCUCAAAAUCUAGGGCAGAAAUUAAUUCUAUAACUCUAAACAUCCUUAACUGAAGGAUGAAAAGUGGAGAUCUUGAAAACCACAGUCAAAGAAGAUUUCUUUACAACAAAACUUGUUUCCCAAGCCUUUGGGGGAUAUUCAAAGGAAAAGAAAGGGAAGCUUGUCCACGAAAUGUCUAUUUUAAGCAUGUGCUCAUCAUCUCCGUAUUUUUGUUUUUUCAUAACUUCUCACAGUUAGGACAUUUUCAUCCUACAUAGAAUAAGACAUUUUCAUCCUACAUAGAAUAAGACAUUUUCAUCCUACAUAGAAUAAGGGACUUGGAGAUUAAACUAUACAAAAGGAUGCAUUUGGUUUCCAGUCAUGGUUUUGGCACACUGAAGAAUAAGAAUUGAUCUUUAUUCUAAUGAAAUCUGAAAGUAUGU